AGGGCUUCUGAUCUGUGACCUCCGCAAGAGGAGAACUGAGUUUUCGUCUGCUUAGAAUAUUGAUUAUCCUCCCGUAAAACUUGUAUCCAUCAUUGCCAGAAGGGGCAUAUCCAAAGAGGCUUUACUGUUUUUGUAUUCUGAAAUCAAACGAGCGACUGCACAACUUCAUUUCCACAGCCUCAUUCAUGUUCUGCUGAACCA
RNAcentral lists this long non-coding RNA (201 nucleotides) under Salmo trutta (river trout). Its description in RNAcentral is "lncRNA (ENSSTUG00000031438.1)". The record is from RNAcentral. Lineage: Eukaryota; Metazoa; Chordata; Actinopteri; Salmoniformes; Salmonidae.